RNA transcript from Canis lupus familiaris (dog), 3528 nucleotides. It is a transcript of the gene named GLE1 RNA export mediator, with no coding region annotated. NCBI's taxonomy places the organism in Eukaryota, Metazoa, Chordata, Mammalia, Carnivora, Canidae. The transcript has 16 exons. The record is from RefSeq and is a predicted model, not a curated record.
CGAGGGCCCGUUUCCGGGCGGCUGAUUCGAGGUCCUGUUUUGUCAUAAGCGGAGACUCUGAAGAGCUCCCUCGGGGUGGGGCAUGCCGUCCGAGGGUCGCUGCUGGGAGACCCUGCAGGCGCUGCGCAGUUCCGACAAAGGUCGCCUGUGCUACCACCGCGAUUGGCUGCUGCGGGGGGAGGAUGUUUUGGAAGAAUGUAUGUCUCUUCCCAAGCUGUCUUCCUACUCUGGAUGGGUGGUAGACCAUGUCUUAUGCCACACGCAAGAGAACCCACUUUCCUCUGAGACCGCAGUAUCCUCCAGAUCCACCUUAACCCUUGGCCAACCUUCAUCUGGUCCCAAAUCUCCUGUCAGAACCCCCACCUUCUCACCAACCUCCUCAGUAACACCAGAUGGAGCAGAGGGCAAACAUAAGUCCCAGUAUACAGAACCUAUGGUACUUCAGUCCUCCCGGGGGAUCAAGGUGGAAGGCUGCAUCCGAAUGUAUGAGCUGGUACAUAGGAUGAGAGGAACAGAGGGCCUGAGGCAGUGGCAAGAGGAGCAGGAGAGGAAGGUGCGAGCCCUCUCUGAGAUGGCAUCUGAACAACUGAAGCGCUUCGAUGAACGGAAGGAACUGAAACAGCAUAAAGAAUUCCAGGACUUAAGGGAAGUGAUGGAGAAGAGUUCCAGGGAGGCCCUGGGGCACCAAGAGAAGCUAAAAGCUGAGCAUCGUCACAGAGCAAAGAUUCUCAACCUGAAGCUGCGGGAGGCCGAGCAACAGCGCCUGAAGCAGGUGGAGCAGGAGCGGCUGCGGAAGGAAGAAGGCCAGAUCCGCCUGCGGAGCCUCUAUGCCCUGCAGGAGGAGGUGCUGCACCUCAACCAGCAGCUGGACACCUCUGAGCAGCACAGAGACACGCUGAAGUUUGACCUGUCUGCCUUCCGGACCCGAGGCAACCAGCUGUGCAGCCUUGUCUCGGGAAUCAUUCGGGCCACUUCUGAGAAUGGCUUUCCCACAGCAGAGGACCAGGCUGUGGCAGAGAGAGCCCUGCAGGAAAUGCGGGACCUCCUUACAAGCUUGCAGCAGGAGAUUGCCAGGGCCUGUGAAGACAAGAGGAGGCAAGAUGAGGAGGCGGCCCAAGAAAAGCAGCAAGAGUCAAAGAUGCAGCAGGGGCCAGAGGCCCCCAGAGAGACCCCAGCUCCCAACCAGGGCCCAGGAGGGAAACAGAAUGAAGACCUCCAGGUGAAGGUACAAGACAGUACAAUGCAGUGGUACCAGCAGCUACAGGAAGCUUCAAAUCAGUGUGUGCUGGCCUUUGAGGAACUGACCAACAGCAAAGAUAGUCAGGCCAAAAAGAUAAAGAUGGACCUCCAGAAGGCUGCCACCAUCCCAGUGAGCCAGAUCUCCACCAUUGCAGGCUCAAAGCUGAAGGAGAUCUUUGACAAGAUCCACAGCCUGCUCUCUGGAAAACCCGUUCAAUGUGGUGGGCAUUCUGUGUCAGUCACCCUGAACCCACAGGGCCUGGACUUUGUCCAGUACAAGCUGGCAGAGAAAUUUGUGAAACAAGGAGAGGAGGAGGUGGCCUCUCACCAUGAAGCAGCAUUCCCCAUAGCAGUUGUGGCAUCCGGAAUCUGGGAGCUGCAUCCCAGAGUGGGCGACCUCAUCCUUGCUCACCUCCACAGGAAGUGUCCCUACUCCGUUCCCUUCUACCCAGCUUUCAAGGAGGGAAUGGCAUUGGAAGACUAUCAAAGGAUGCUUGGCUACCAAGUGAAGGACUCCAAAGUGGAACAGCAGGACAACUUUCUAAAACGCAUGUCUGGGAUGAUCCGACUCUAUGCUGCCAUUAUCCAGCUCCGAUGGCCAUAUGGAAGCCGACAAGAGAUUCAUCCUCAUGGCUUAAGUCAUGGUUGGCGCUGGUUGGCACAAAUCUUAAACAUGGAGCCCCUGUCAGAUGUGACAGCCACCCUCCUCUUUGACUUCUUGGAGGUGUGUGGGAAUGCCCUCAUGAAGCAGUACCAGGUACAGUUCUGGAAGAUGAUCCUUCUCAUCAAAGAAGACUACUUCCCCAGGUGCCCUUCUCAUUCCUUUCAACACACUGGCAUUUCAGCCGAGGGAGAGGUUUUAGCAGCACCCAUCCUGCCUGCCUGCAAAGACCUUGGAAAGGAAUGUCCUCUGUUCUCCUUUAUCUCCUGGUUUGAGUAGGCAGCUGAGAUCAUUUGGACGAAUGACAGCAUCCUGAGCCCAGAAGUCAUCUCUUCGAGUCAUUCCACCUAAUCCUUCCUCUGGAUCAGCAGCGUCCCGAACUCCUCUCCAGGAGGGAGAAAUGUUUGCAGCGCCAGGAGAUUCCUGUCCCCAAGGGCUUUCUGACUUCCUCCUUUUGGCGUUCCUGAUGGCACUCCAUGGCCCACCAUCACCGUGCUGUUUCAGAGGGACAGGAAUAAAGCAACUGAAAACAGCUGUGUUUGGGAGAAGUCAGAUUUAGAAAUGCACCAGUAUAUGCUUUUAUAUGUUUGUACCUUGCAACUAGGAGAGGACACUUUUCGGGAGUCCCAGAAUCCAGGGGGUCUCUUUGAAGGCCAGAUACUCCUUAAGGGGGUCUGCAUGGCAGAGUAAAUGGCAUCGGCUCUUCUCAUUUCUGCAAAUGUGGUGAGAAGAGUGAUUUAGUGCUUGGUCUCAUCAUUCAUUUCCUUUGUGUCUAGUGUCUUUCAGAAAGUACAUAGUACCUUAACCAUUUCCCUCUGAGCUGAAGUGAGCCCACCACUUGUACUCCAUCCUCUCCCUCAGCCCAUGCUGCCCCCUGUUCAGAGUACAAGUGUUAAUAGUUGAGGCUCAAAUCCUUACACGUAAGUCUGGGUUAUGGUGGUUUUGCCUUUCUCAGCUUGUGAAGUAAUGAUAAAUUCAGAGGAAAUGCCUGAUAUAGACAUGGAUUAAGUCCCAAAUUGCAUCAGAGAUAGUUUAGCAUCUGGGACUGGGACUGUUAAUACAUGUUACGUUGAACAGGAAGCACUGUUGGUCCUAUUAAUUUGGGAUUUGGUCCCUGGAUGACUAGGGAUGCAUGAACCAGGACAGGUGUGGGGCGGGGGGGGGUUGUUUAUUCUUUAAUUUGAAUGAAGAUGGGCUGUAACGGGCUUGCAACAUUACACAUGAGCCAAGAAUCUAUAUGCAAUGAUUCAGGGGUUAAAGGUGUUUGGGAGGAAUUGGGAACUGCUUUAAAAUUGUUGACAUGACCUGAGUAAAGAGUGAUGAUAGAUUGGCCUCACUAAAGCCACUAUAGAAAUUCAGAGCUUGGCUGUUCAGUUAAGAAUUGAGAUUUGGGGAUCCCUGGGUGGCGCAGCGGUUUGGCGCCUGCCUUUGGCCCAGGGCGCGAUCCUGGAGACCCGGGAUCGAAUCCCACAUCAGGCUCCCGGUGCAUGGAGCCUGCUUCUCCCUCUGCCUGUGUCUCUGCCUCUCUCUCUCUCUCUGUGACUAUCAUAAAAAAAAAAAAAAAAAAAAAAGAAUUGAGAUUUGUUUUUGGAAAGGCUCAUUGUCUUUUGUACCAUAGACAACAGCCA